Molecule: ribosomal RNA, 301 nt
Filed under: uncultured bacterium
Lineage: Bacteria
Description: partial 16S ribosomal RNA
Rfam family: Bacterial small subunit ribosomal RNA
Source: RNAcentral
CAGUAGCCGCGGUAAUACGUAGGGUGCAAGCGUUAAUCGGAAUUACUGGGCGUAAAGCUUGCGCAGGCGGUUAUAUAAGACAGAUGUGAAAUCCCCGGGCUCAACCUGGGAACUGCAUUUGUGACUGUAUAGCUAGAGUACGGCAGAGGGGGAUGGAAUUCCGCGUGUAGCAGUGAAAUGCGUAGAUAUGCGGAGGAACACCGAUGGCGAAGGCAAUCCCCUGGGCCUGUACUGACGCUCAUGCACGAAAGCGUGGGGAGCAAACAGGAUUAGAUACCCGCGUAGUCCCUGUCUCUUAUAC